AUUGUGUCAGCCGCCGCGCGGUAAUACGUAGGGUGCGAGCGUUAAUCGGAAUUACUGGGCGUAAAGCGUGCGCAGGCGGUUUUGUAAGACAGAUGUGAAAUCCCCGGGCUUAACCUGGGAACUGCGUUUGUGACUGCAAGACUCGAGUGGGGCAGAGGGGGGUGGAAUUCCACGUGUAGCAGUGAAAUGCGUAGAGAUGUGGAGGAACACCGAUGGCGAAGGCAGCCCCCUGGGUCAACACUGACGCUCAUGCACGAAAGCGUGGGUAGCAAACAGGAUUAGAUACCCUGGUAGUCCACGCCCUAAACGAUGCCAACUAGGUGUUGGGGAAGGAGACUUCCUUAGUACCGUAGCUAACGCGUGAAGUUGGCCGCCUGGGGAGUACGGUCGCAAGAUUAAAACUCAAAGGAAUCGACGGGGACCCGCACAAGCGGUGGAUGAUGUGGAUUAAUUCGAUGCAACGCGAAAAACCUUACCUACCCUUGACAUGCCACUAACGAAGCAGAGAUGCAUUAGGUGCUCGAAAGAGAAAGUGGACACAGGUGCUGCAUGGCUGUCGUCAGCUCGUGUCGUGAGAUGUUGGGUUAAGUCCCGCAACGAGCGCAACCCUUGUCUCUAGUUGCUACGAAAGGGCACUCUAGAGAGACUGCCGGUGACAAACCGGAGGAAGGUGGGGAUGACGUCAAGUCCUCAUGGCCCUUAUGGGUAGGGCUUCACACGUCAUACAAUGGUGCAUACAGAGGGUUGCCAAGCCGCGAGGUGGAGCUAAUCCCAGAAAAUGCAUCGUAGUCCGGAUCGUAGUCUGCAACUCGACUACGUGAAGCUGGAAUCGCUAGUAAUCGCGGAUCAGCAUGCCGCGAUGAAUACGUUCCCGGGUCUUGCACACACCGCCCGUCAAU
This 899-nucleotide ribosomal RNA is filed under the name uncultured bacterium. RNAcentral's name for it is "bacterial SSU rRNA". It matches the Rfam family "Bacterial small subunit ribosomal RNA", at positions 502 to 1401 of the family's 1533-position model. The record is from RNAcentral.